GGAGCCAUAGCUCAGUUGGCUAGAGCGCCUGCCUGUCACGCAGGAGGUCGCGGGUUCGAGUCCCGUUGGCUCCGCCA
RNAcentral lists this transfer RNA (77 nucleotides) under Candidatus Woesearchaeota archaeon. RNAcentral's name for it is "tRNA-Asp". It matches the Rfam family "tRNA". From Rfam's summary of the family: Transfer RNA (tRNA) molecules are approximately 80 nucleotides in length. Lineage: Archaea; Nanobdellati; Candidatus Woesearchaeota. RNAcentral also lists the same sequence under 2 other names. The record is from RNAcentral.